RNAcentral lists this long non-coding RNA (5456 nucleotides) under Olea europaea subsp. europaea. The record is from RNAcentral. Lineage: Eukaryota; Viridiplantae; Streptophyta; Magnoliopsida; Lamiales; Oleaceae.
CGUGACCACAUUUUCCUUGAAAACAAGGAAAAUAUUUUUCUUGGGGGAAGGUGGAUUUUAUUUUCCAUGGAAUUUAACCCUUCCAAAAAUUCUAGUUGGUAACCAACCACGUAAAUCUCUCUCUCUCUCUCAACUCUACCCACCCACGUCCAAAUCGCUGCCUCUCUCUCUCACAUAGAUUCUCAGCCAGCAAGCCGUCUCUCGUCCAUUCAACCGAGCAAUCAGCUUCUCUCACAUCCAUUCAACCGAAGCACGAAGAAGAAAUCGACCGAUCGUGUUUGAAGAAAUCGACGAGACGGUAACUGCAUAGAUUCAGGUUACUCUCACAAUAUUUGAUUUCUAUAUGUGUAAUUCUUAAUUAAACCGAGUACAAAGCGAACACGAAUUUUUUGGAAUUUGUUUUUGUUUUUUUGAUUUUGAGAUUCCAGAAUUUUUCUCCUCUUUAAUGACCCCCAAUUCUAUUUCUGUGAUGGGCUCUGCAAGGUUGAGGUGGAGGUGGAAAGAAAUUGGGUCUGCAAGGUGGAGGUGGAGCUGGACAUAAAUUGGGUUCGGGUUCUACAAGGUGGAGGUGGAGGUGGAAUCUUGCAAUUUUGUUGGCAUAUGUAUCAUUUAAGAUUUCCCAGAGUUAUGAAAUCUUUGUCUUUAUCUAUACUUGCAUUCGAAGACCUUGAAUGAAUUAAGCUUUCAAUGGUUGAGUUUCUUGAUUAAUUUAAAUGUAGUAUGAAUGAUGGGGGCUGUGGAAGUGGAGGCAGUUUGGGAAUAUCAAAAGAAGACAUCCCUGGUAUGAAGUUAUGAGGAAGGAAAUUCACAUGAUUGUUAACACUAAAUAAGCUUUGAUGAGGGUUUACCUAUCAAAUAACCAACGCAUUGCAGAAUGGUAGAUCAAAUCAAAGGAUAGAUCACUAUUAACUCAUUGAUCGCAUUGGGUCUGCUGGGUUUGUAUGGUAGGUUGCUGCUUACUCAUUAAGAAAGUAGCACAAUUUAGAAAACUUAGUUUAUGCUGAUUAAGUUGUUAAACAUGUAGGUUUAGGAUACGGGAAGCAAAGAUGAACCAUUAUUAAAUAGUGAUGCAGAAAGUGAUGAUUGUGAGUUAUAAGAAUAUGUAGUUAAUUCUAUUGGAGAUAUAUCAUUUUUGGUGGUUUUUACUAUAUCAUUUUUGCUUUUUUAAUAUAUGUUUUUUGCUGGUUUUUACUGUAUUACAUUCGAAGAGUAACUGGAAUCCAGUGGUAUUUAUAUCGAUGGUUUUGAGGGUAACAUCAAUUGAAUAGUUCCUCACACAUGUUAGUAGAAUCUCAGAAAUUGGUUGAGAUUUCUUUGCUAGAGUAGUGUUUGGAUUUUCAAUAAGAUAAUUGCCGGUAAGUUCUCACUGUUUGCCUAAUAUAGCACUUGGAUCCUGACUUCAAUUAUGUUGGUAUUAGGGUCAGCAUUUUGACUAUUUUGUAGCAAUUUCAUUUUUUCUGCUGUUUUCUAUCUAUUAGAACCAUUUAUCCUUCAUGUUACUUGCAUUUGAGGCUGCUUUCUUGGGUAUCUUCGUAGGAAAAAGAUUUUCAUAAAAGGAAUCUCUUUUUACUUGUUACCAUAUUUGAUGAAAUUUAAGUAAAAUUUGUCUCAAAUUCAUUACCAAAUUUUCAUUUUUGGACAACACUUCAGAGUUAAAGAUUCUGAUGCACAUUAUAUGUCUGUAGAUGUCUUUUGGUAUAGAUUUUACGCAUUCAACAGGGCAAAAAAUUAAGUGUCCUGGUCAACCACCUCCAAGAUUGAAUCAUCAACUGUUUUAAUUAUUAUUAGGUUUUUCAAAUAGCUAACUGGUUGGUUCGCUUGGGCCAUAUUCUAGCAAAUUCUUUUGAUGAUUUAUUUCAAUUUAAUUACUGGACUGCCAGAACCAAAUGAAAGUUUUGAUCUAGACCAGUACUAAAGGUGGUCUUUUAAAUAGUUAUUUGAUAUUGCCUCUGAUAAUGGCAAUGAAGGUAGUUCCUUUUAGUAUUUGGAGAAAAAAGGGUCUUUUGGGAACUUCAUUUCUCUAGACCUGGCAGCAUUGGUUGUUCGUAAAUUUAGGGAAAUGUUUGAGUUUUCAAUCGCGCCCUCACAUCCUACUAGUAGGAAUUUGUUCUUUAGUCUAGUAAUGCUGGAAUUUGUUCUUUAGUCUAGUAAUGCUGGAAUUUUAUUUAUUCCAAUCUAUCUCUAUGAAAAUUUUUCCUUUAUAUAUCGUAUCUACAAGUGACGUUGUGAUUAAUUAGUUUCAGAAUGUGUUAAUCGUUUAUUUGAAAUACCAUAAAGUUUUUUAUUUUUAUUUUUAUUUUUAUUUUUUGACUGUCCAGGAAGUAGAAACAAAUUCAAGAAACUAAACCCAGCUAGCGUUUUGAUUGGCUUGGGUGCGUGUAUCUACGGAUCUAUUACCAAUAUAAUGCACAAUAAAUUAACCGUUGUCCAUUGUGCAUAUUUUCCUGCAGCUACAGUUAACUUUUUAUUCUGUAAUGAUGUUAUGUUAUUCUUUAUAAACAAAUUUUUAUUGGAUUUUUGUUUACCGUGGUAGUUUAUAACAUGGCUUCAACAACGAAUCAACGUCGAUGCCGACGACAACAUUUAUGUUUAUUUUGGACAAUGGUCAUACAAGCGAUUGUGAUAUAUAACGAAGUUAGGCGUCGUGCACGACAUCUUCCAAGAGCUCCUCAUACAAAUUGGAAUUCUGAAAGAGAAAUAACACUUACACGAAUGUUUGGCACGAGUGAUACAAUAUGUCGUGAUCUCCUUAGGAUGAAAAUAGGUCCAUUUCAAAGAUUAUGUGCUCGUUUGCGAACUUAUGGAUUGGUUGACAGUAAAUACGUUCGAAUUGAGGAACAAGUAGCAAUUUUUCUGAAUACAGUAGGGCAUGACCAACGUAAUCGCGCUGGACGUUUUACUUUCUUUCACUCUGGUCAAACAGUGAGCUUUUACUUUCACAGAGUCUUACACGCUUGUCUUGGACUGUAUAGAGAUGUUGUGAUUAAUGCCACUCCUCAUAAUUCACCAUACGAAAAAAAAAUGUGCAGCCGUGGUACUCCUUUUUUCAGGUUAGUGGUUUGUAGAUAUUUCAUCAUAUUUUUUAAAACUUCAAUAUUCACAUUUAUUUUGAAAAGUAUUAUUUUUUAAAGGAUGCCGUAGGAGCAAUCGAUGGUACACAUAUAGCUGCGUAUGUGUCUUUAGAGGAGCAAGGUAAGUAUCGCAAUAGAAAGCAAGUGAUUUCCCAAAAUGUUUUAGUAGCUUGCACAUUUGAUAUGAAAUUUACGUACAUGCUUGCCGGUUGGGAGGGAUCUGCACAUGAUGGUCGAUUGUUACGGAGUGCAAUAUUACGCCAAGGACAUAAGCUAACAAUUCCUGUUGGUAAGUUCUGUCACUAUUUUGAAAACAUUUCUUCCACACAUAAGUUAUAAUAAUUACCUAACUACCAUCGUAUGAACGACUCUUUCCUAGGUAAAUAUUACCUUGUUGACGCUGGCUUCCCAUCGGUUUUGGGUUUUCUUGCACCAUACCGUAGGACUCGUUAUCAUCGUAGAGACAUUGAAGGUCAACGUCCUGAAAAUAGUAAGGAGUUGUUCAAUUUUCGACAUUCAUCUCUACGUAAUGUUAUUGAGCGUACAAUUGGGUUGCUAAAAAAAAGAUUUGCAUAUUUGAGACAUCAACCCUAUCACGACAUUGACACACAAGCAAAGAUAGUCCUUGCCUGUUCUGCCAUCCACAACUUCUUAAGGAUUGAUGACGUUGAAGAUGUUUGUGAGGAGGACGACUUAGAUAGUAGUGAUGAUGAGGUUAACCCUACGCAUGUUGAUGUACCUGAAGAUGAAACUCCAAAUGCUCACAUAUCUUUCACAAAUCAGAAAGUGUGGUCUAAUAAGAGGAAUGCGAUUGCUGAUUUAAUGUGGGCUGAUUAUCUUCCCAAUCAGAAUGCGGGAAUUGAUUUCGAUUGAAAUCUUGUCUUUUUUUCUAUGUAUUGGAUAUAAACUUACUAGACUUUCAUAUGUAGUAAUUGAUUGAAUUGAAGACGUAUUGACAUUAAGCAUAUUUUUUAUUUUUUUUUUCCCAUGUCCUGUAAUAGUUGACAUAAGAUUGCUAGAAUUUUAAAUAUUGUAAUUGGAAUUGUUGUUAUUGGAGACAUUGUUGACAUGCAAUUUUCUUAAAUGUUCUUAUUUAUUGGUUGACCGUGAACAGUUAAUCUUGCACUAUACAAUUCAUGGCAAAUAUUCGACAAAGCUCUGCGGCACCUUUUCGAGUUCCUAGACCAACCCUUCAUUCAGAUGUGGAGGAAAUAAGCUCAACCCAAGCGGAUCCUAAUUCUAGGAAUCGUCAAAUACGUUGGAGUGAUGCAAUGGACGGUUGUAUGAUAACUGCACUAUUACAUCAAGUGUUGUCUAGUCACAAAAGAAGUGACAAUGGCUUUUCAUCAUUUCACGUGUCCAAAGCAAUCGAGAGCGUGCACAAUGGAUGCUGAGUGAUGGUGUCUGAUAAGAAUGUGAGGGCGCGAUUGAAAACUCUAAAAAAAGAAUAUGUUGAAGUUCGUCAGUUGUUAAGCAUGAGUGGUUUUGGGUUAGAUCCUCACACUGGACGUGUCACAGCCGAUGUAUUAGCUUGGGAGGAGUUGUUGAAGGUAUAAAAUUUCAUUGACCAAUAUUACUAAUAUAAUUUAUGGUGUCCCCUAAGUAGCGUAAAACAUAUUUCACUCUUUUUCUUGUAGGGCAAAUCAGAAUUUGGAAAGUGGAGGACCAAACUUUGUUCUCGUUAUGAUGAUUUGGAGGCUAUUUUUGGAAAUGAUUCUGCUACAGGAGAUCGUGCUGUAACCGGCAAUGACAUUUUAUCCCCCGAUCAUGGUACGUACUAGAUCAGACAUAAAAAUUUAUAUAAUUCGUAUUAUAUUAGAGAUUCUAACAAUUUCUUAUUUUACUAUUUUUUAGAUGAAACUGUGCAUGAAAUUGAUGGUCAAAAUGAGGAUGCGGAUCCAAGCCCCAUUCGGGCUCCUAAGCGUAAUGCCGAAGGAGGAACUAACAAAGUUCGCCGUCGACGUACCCAACCUAAUGAUGAGAGUCUCGUUGCACUAUCAAGCAUUGCCGAAUCAUCCAAAAAAAUUGCUAUCGCUAUGGAGACUCAAGCAACAUUAGAUACGCUAAACCACAUCAAUUGGCAGUUGGUUCUAGAAAAAUUACAAGGCAUGCGUAUAGAAAAGCGUGACAUAAUGCAAGUAAUGAAAAUAUUUCGAUCGGAUGAGAGUCUGGCUAGAAUAUUUAUGAGUUUGACUGAUGAAGAAUUCAUGCGUGAUUUAGUAUUUGAGAAUCUGGGCCGUGAUCCGCCUCCACUAUUUUAAGAUAACUUGGUUGGAUAAUUUAACAAACAUGUGAAAGUACGACAUCUAUGUUGAUUUUAUUUGCUAUUUUCUUAUGAUACAGAUUUUUUGGGUUUUUUCAUUUUUGUUUUAUGUAAUACAUUGG